AACGCACAUUGCGCCCAUUAGUAUUCUAGUGGGCAUGCCUAUUCGAGCGUCAUUUCAACCCUUAAGCCCCUGUUGCUUAGCGUUGGGAUUCUACAGGGCUGUCCUGUAGUUCCCUAAAAUCAGUGGCGGAGUGGGAGCUCACUCGUAGCGUAGUACUUUUUUUCUCGCUUCGGUAGUGGCUCUGACUUUCGGCCGUAAAACCCCCUAUAUUUUCAAAGGUUGACCUCGGAUUAGGUAGGAAUACCCGCUGAACUUAA
RNAcentral lists this unclassified non-coding RNA (257 nucleotides) under uncultured fungus. RNAcentral's name for it is "partial contains 5.8S ribosomal RNA, internal transcribed spacer 2, and large subunit ribosomal RNA". Lineage: Eukaryota; Fungi. The record is from RNAcentral.